GCCGCGACAGGGACCCGACGACGCACACGCACCCACCCACCUCCGCCCAUCGCGUACUACAAAUUACAGUAGCCGGAGACCCGACGGACGGCGUACAGUCGUCGUCACCCGCCGCGCCCAGCCUCCCGGUAAGAAGCCAAGCCAAUCCCAUCCAAGCCUUCCCUCCUCGUUCUCCUCGUGCGGGUGGAUAGAGUAGAGUAGAUAGGCAGAGUAGAUCGACCGCGCGUCGCCGUGGACUCGCGGGGUUGGUGGUUUGGUGGUGCCAUCCUCACCCGUGUGACCGGGUCCGCUGUGUGCGCAGCACAGCACGGUGGCUGGCUGCCUGACCGGGUCUGCCUCCAUCUCCGGGCCUUUUUGUUCGCACCUGGAUUAUACUACUGCCAUCCCCCGAUUUCCCUGGGAAACGCAAAGUGUGCCUUCGUCGCCAGAGAUCUAGCGCCGGUGGCAUGGCACCUUCCCGUGUUCUUUCUUUAUUUAUAGCCUCAGCUCCCCACUAGGAGUUUUGUUUCCAUCAACAAAACCUAACCAUUAAUUUGACCAGAAUUAUCCGCGUGAAAUGCCGCCCCCCUAAAUCUCGCAGCAGCAGAAAUUGGGCUCGCAUUUUAUUUUCACACCAAAUGGCUGCCAAAAACACUAGUAGUCCGUAUUUUUUAGUCCCAAGAAGGAGAGAGAGAGAGAGAGAUCAAGGCUUAUCCUCCUCCUCCAGCGACCCGGCUGGGCCAAGAAAGUCCAGGGGAAGAGACAGAAAAGAAGAACAGAAAACAGUGGGAAAAAGAGGCCGGGCUCCUCGAAUCUCUCACUAAUUUUCUCCUUGUCUGCGUGCCUACGCCUUGCCUCCUUCGGGGUUGGUGAGCGAGCGAGCUCGGGAUCAGUUGGGGACUACACACCCAGAGGUUGUUGUCCGAGAAUUAUUUAGGCCCGCCCCCUUCUUCCUUCCACGCCUUCUUAGCCUCGCCUCGCCUCGCCUCCCUUCUCUGGUCAGUCUUCUCGGAUCUCCGGCUCAAAUUCGUCUCCCCAAUCCCCAGUUCCAGGUUCUUGGAGGAGGGGGGAGGCCAUGGGCAGCUUCGCCAAGCUGGCCAAGAGGUGCGUGGAGACGGAGGCGCCGGUCAUGGUGAAGAUACAAGAGCUGCUUCGAGGGGUCACUGAUGUGAUGUCGCUUGCGCAGGGAAUUGUUUAUUGGCAACCUCCUGAGACAGCCCUGAACAAGGUCAAGGAAAUUGUAUGGGAACCAGCAACCAGUAAAUAUGGUGCUGAUGAUGGCCUUCCCGAGCUUCGAGAAGCACUUCUCGAGAAGCUUCACAGGGAGAAUAAGCUAACCAAGUCAUCGGUUAUGGUGACUGCCGGUGCAAAUCAGGCUUUUGUAAACCUUGUUCUGACCCUUUGCGAUGCUGGUGAUUCAGUUGUCAUGUUUGCACCAUAUUAUUUCAAUUCCUUCAUGUCAUUCCAGAUGACUGGCGUCACUGAUAUAUUAGUUGGUGCUAGCAAUCCCAAGACACUUCAUCCUGAUAUUGAUUGGUUAGAGAAGGUGCUGAAAGAAAAUAACCCUAUCCCUAAACUUGUUACUGUUGUCAAUCCGGGAAACCCUUCUGGAGCUUUUAUUCCCAAGCCUAUGCUACAGAGAAUUUCAGACCUGUGCAAGAAUGCUGGUGCAUGGCUGGUGGUUGACAAUACCUAUGAGUACUUCAUGUAUGAUAAAAUGGAGCACUACUGCCUAGAGGAUGAUCAUAUUGUCAACCUUUUCUCGUUCUCAAAGGCUUAUGGAAUGAUGGGGUGGCGUGUAGGAUACAUCGCAUAUCCAAGCGAAGCCGAUGGUUUCCACGCGCAGCUCCUUAAGGUGCAGGAUAACAUACCUAUCUGUGCUUCCAUCAUCGGGCAGCGCCUGGCUCUAUACUCAUUGGAGGCCGGCCCAGAGUGGAUCAGGGAAAGGGUGAACGAUCUCGUGAAAAACCGCGAGCUGCUUGUGGAGGCAAUGUCUCCCCUUGGUGAGGGUGCUGUCAAGGGUGGGGAGGGUGCCAUCUACCUCUGGGCUAAGCUACCAGACAACUGUUCAGACGACUUUGAGGUUGUCAGGUGGCUCGCGACCAAGCACGGUGUCGCAGUGAUCCCCGGGAGCGCCAGCGGAGGCCCCGGAUACAUCCGUGUUUCCUUCGGAGGGCUGAAGGAGGAAGACACGAGGCUCGCCGGCGAGAGGCUAAGGCGGGGUCUGCAAGAGCUGGUGACCGAUGGGAUGGUACAGUAACAACAGCCCGUCGUAUGUAAGACAGUAAGAGUACAUUUCUACAUUCAGAUCACACAGGUCCGAUUUUUUCGACGAUACGAUUCUGCCGGGAUUAGUUGAUUCAGAGGAGCAAAAGCACCAUAUAUCCAAGUCUUUUGUAUCUUACAGAAUCACCAUGCUGGAGGUGCCUGAUGGGAAUGGCAAUUGGUGUACUGAGAAUUGGGGCAAAAUAAAAAAAGCCGCGCAGCCCCCGUGUCGUAAUUCUCCGUUCGGUACUUCCUGCCGUUUAAUUUACCCUUUCCCCCAGCAACUGUACACAAGUGAAAUACGACAAUUAUAAGGUGCUUUUACACGCCUUCCCUGAGCCGUCUGUGUUUCCUGUUC
Molecule: ribosomal RNA, 2602 nt
Filed under: Triticum aestivum (bread wheat)
Lineage: Eukaryota; Viridiplantae; Streptophyta; Magnoliopsida; Poales; Poaceae
Description: partial small subunit ribosomal RNA
Source: RNAcentral